UCACUGUUACGCUGACACAAAGUCCUAAACAGAAAAAGGAGAACAGAGGAAGAUAUUGCAGUCAAAGUAAUCCCAUCAUUAUUUGCUAUGAUUGUCUUUUCAUAAUUAAAAACUGUAUUGAUCUUCCUGAGGUUCCAUCGAUGUGAUGUUAGGUUGGACUACCGGAGAGUGAGUUAGUAUGUAGGUUUUUUCCAGUCCUGCUCUUAACGACUUCAAUCAUCUUGGAAGAUCCUAAUGUGCAGCUCAGUGAUAUAGUCAGGUGUUGGAGCAGGGCUGAAACCAAGGCUUUGCACAGUAGCUCUCCAGGAGGAUGGCUGGCGACCACUGAGCUCUUUCUUACUAUGACCUCUUCCAUCCUUCUCAAAACCAACUACAGAAAAAUGCAUUUGGAGAGGAACAUUGGGUCUUACUAUCAAAUGGGAUUUGAGAAGGAGGCGAGGAAUCAAUAAAAACAUAUUUUGAGAAAGAACCCAGGUAUACUAGGGUCUGUGUCUGUUGUGCUUUUUGUUAGAUGAUUGAGGGCAUUCUCCAGAGCAAAGCUGGAGUGAAUGAGUAUACUCUGACAAAAACUUAACUGACCACACCAGACGUAAUAUGAUCAAGGUAUUGGUUGCAAAUAGGACCGGGGAUCAUGGGCAAACCAUCCAUUUUUUGAACACGUUAAGAUCAAUGUUUUGCAUUCAUGUGUUAUUGCCAAUGUCGUAAUUAUUCAUUGUUUGGGGUUCAGAAUAAGUACCCUCAUGAGAUGUGAAGGAGGCAAACGCAAGAGGAAUAGUUUCCUUGUUCCCGUACCUGGCCGACCUCAAAAGCAAGACCGUGAGUACGAAAUAAAUCCGGGUCCCAAUUCACUCCUUACCACGUUCCUUUAGCCCUAACCCUUUGAUGUUUGCAGAUUUGAAGGGUGUGGAUAGAUGUAAGUAGUGUAGUUGUGGAGCUUUCACUCUAUGGAUCUGCAAACAUGGAUAGGGUUAUAGGGCCAUGGGGAAGUGUUGUAAGACUUUUUUUUAAAAAUGGUUUUGCUGUUUUAAAGGCACAGUCUGCUGAUGGUGAAAUUGCCACUGAAACAUCCCUCGAUGUUCAAAUGAUAAACGCAGCAUUUUUUCGAAAUCACUUUUGAAGUCGCAAAGCGGUCUAACAUAGCACUGCUGUUGUUUACAUGCUCCUCCUCGGGUCACUCGAAAUUGAAGAUAACAUCAAUCAGGCUUUGUGUAUGUGAAGGUGACCGAGGAGCAUGUAACAUUACACAGUCCCUGCAACUGUUCAACUUUUCUUCUAGAUUCUAACAUGCACCAGUGACACAUUUGCUUCGGGUAAACAAAAGUGUUAUUUUUUUUUGUUUUUUUUGUCUGUGUCCCACUAUUACACCGCAGAAGACAGGAGUUGUUACUUGCCAUGGGGACUGAAGCACCUGUGAAAAGAAGGCUGCAGAGGGAAGAAUAAAGUCCCCUCGUAGAUCACUAACAGGUGGACAGAGACCCCUUCAUGGACGAAGACUGGCUGAGUGAAGAAGGGCAGUGUCGAGAGGCCAUCGCGCUGAUGAAACACGCGUCUGAUGAAGCAAUCGCUGAAAAAAAAGAUGAAGCUGACCUUUGCCUAGCGCCAAAACAUUGUCCAUGACCCACAUAACUCUUCUGACAUACUCAGUGUUUCCGUGGUUCCUGGACAUACCAAGCAUGAUUGAGCAAGAUUUUAGACUGAUGUUUGGUGACGCAACUUCCACAUAAUUCCUGAAGAAAUGGCCUACGGUCUUUAAACGGAAUGUCAUCCAGCAGAGCCAUGGACUCAACUGAGCUUCAGGACCUGAUACACAACGCUGAGUCCACAGCUGAGAUGGGAAAUGGCUGGGACACUGACAUUCUACUCCUUGUCCAUCUUCUGCCUCCCUCCGCUCAAGGCCUCAACAGGCUGGGAAAGAUGUCAACAAGACCCUCAGCUGAACCUCUUGUGAUGUUUGUUAAGGCAGGGACCAGCAUCCAGCAGCGUCUGGAUGGCAUCACCGGAAGUCAACAGCCCUUUCUGCUUGCUGUGGAGACCCAGAGAAUUAGUAUUCACGCCUACUUCAUCGUGAUUGAAAAACAUACAGUACCUUGUAAGGCAUCAAAUCACAUUUAAUUUGUAACAUGCGACAAAUACAACAGGUGUAGACCUUACCAUGAAAUGCUUACUUACAAACCUUUAACCAACAAU
Long non-coding RNA from Salvelinus fontinalis (brook trout), 2187 nucleotides. RefSeq lists it as uncharacterized. NCBI's taxonomy places the organism in Eukaryota, Metazoa, Chordata, Actinopteri, Salmoniformes, Salmonidae. The record is from RefSeq and is a predicted model, not a curated record. The transcript is spliced from 5 exons.